This 58-nucleotide non-coding RNA is filed under the name unclassified sequences. RNAcentral describes it as "Transposase-1 RNA". It matches the Rfam family "Transposase-1 RNA". From Rfam's summary of the family: Lactobacillales (Firmicutes). Environment (Human Microbiome Project, vagina) The record is from Rfam by way of RNAcentral.
UUAAGAGAAUGCCUCUGUCAUUACCCGCCAUGAGCGGAUAUGGGAAUGCAAUUGUAGA